CAGUAGCCGCGGGAAUACGUAGGUGGCAAGCGUUGUCCGGAAUUAUUGGGCGUAAAGCGCGCGCAGGUGGUUUAAUAAGUCUGAUGUGAAAGCCCACGGCUCAACCGUGGAGGGUCAUUGGAAACUGUUAAACUUGAGUGCAGGAGAGAAAAGUGGAAUUCCUAGUGUAGCGGUGAAAUGCGUAGAGACUAGGAGGAACACCAGUGGCGAAGGCGGCUUUUUGGCCUGUAACUGACACUGAGGCGCGAAAGCGUGGGGAGCAAACAGGAUUAGAUACCCCUGUAGUCCCUGUCUCUUAUAA
RNAcentral lists this ribosomal RNA (301 nucleotides) under uncultured bacterium. Its description in RNAcentral is "partial 16S ribosomal RNA". It matches the Rfam family "Bacterial small subunit ribosomal RNA", at positions 509 to 809 of the family's 1533-position model. The record is from RNAcentral.